AUGCAAAUCACCUGGGGAUCUUAUUAAAAAACAAAAACCGCUGACUGAUUACAAAGCUAGGGAUUGGGCUUGAGAUUUUUCAUUUUUAACAAGUUCCUAGGAGAUGUCAAU
This 111-nucleotide microRNA precursor is filed under the name Marmota monax (woodchuck). Lineage: Eukaryota; Metazoa; Chordata; Mammalia; Rodentia; Sciuridae. The record is from RNAcentral.